GACCUUUUCGUCUAGUGGUUAGGACAUCGGCCUUUCACGCCGGUAACGGGGGUUCGAGUCCCCCAAAGGUCGCCA
This 75-nucleotide transfer RNA is filed under the name bacterium. Its description in RNAcentral is "tRNA-Glu". It matches the Rfam family "tRNA". From Rfam's summary of the family: Transfer RNA (tRNA) molecules are approximately 80 nucleotides in length. RNAcentral also lists the same sequence under 1 other name. The record is from RNAcentral.